Molecule: ribosomal RNA, 253 nt
Filed under: uncultured bacterium
Lineage: Bacteria
Description: partial 16S ribosomal RNA
Rfam family: Bacterial small subunit ribosomal RNA
Source: RNAcentral
UACGAAGGGGGCAAGCGUUGUUCGGAAUUACUGGGCGUAAAGCGUGCGCAGGCGGCUUCUCAAGUCAGGGGUGAAAGCCCAGAGCUCAACUCUGGAAUUGCCUUUGAGACUGAGUGGCUUGAGUACGAGAGAGGUGAGUGGAAUUCCCAGUGUAGAGGUGAAAUUCGUAGAUAUUGGGAAGAACACCGGUGGCGAAGGCGGCUCACUGGCUCGUAACUGACGCUCAUGCACGACAGCGUGGGGAUCAAACAGG